Molecule: non-coding RNA, 28 nt
Filed under: Homo sapiens (human)
Lineage: Eukaryota; Metazoa; Chordata; Mammalia; Primates; Hominidae
Source: RNAcentral
UGAUGAGUUUUCCGCGGCCGGCCGCUGC